This is a non-coding RNA of Oryza barthii, 206 nucleotides long. The record is from Rfam. Lineage: Eukaryota; Viridiplantae; Streptophyta; Magnoliopsida; Poales; Poaceae.
CAAAAGACAAACCCUAGAUUUCAGUGUCCAACGUUUGACUGUCCGUCUUAUGAUAAAUUUUUUUAUAAUUAGUAUUUUCAUUGUUGUUAGAUGAUAAAACAUGAUUAAUACUUUAUACGUGACUUGUCUUUUUAAUUUUUUUUCAUAUUUUUUAAAUAAGACGAACGAUCAAAUGUUGGAUACGGAAACCCAGGGUUUAUCUUUUU